UAAGUAAUGUGAAUUGCAGAAUUCAGUGAAUCAUCGAAUCUUUGAACGCACAUUGCGCCCGCCAGUAUUCUGGCGGGCAUGCCUGUUCGAGCGUCAUUU
RNAcentral lists this ribosomal RNA (99 nucleotides) under Calonectria pauciramosa. Its description in RNAcentral is "5.8S ribosomal RNA". It matches the Rfam family "5.8S ribosomal RNA", at positions 59 to 154 of the family's 154-position model. Rfam says of the family: 5.8S ribosomal RNA (5.8S rRNA) is a component of the large subunit of the eukaryotic ribosome. Lineage: Eukaryota; Fungi; Ascomycota; Sordariomycetes; Hypocreales; Nectriaceae. The record is from RNAcentral.